CAAACCCACAUCUCUUGUGUCUCUGGCACUGAAAGGCCUCCAGACCAAUCCACCAUAGAGAUGAAUGAGUCUCAGCCUCUCCAGGUUUUGCUGCAGAGCCUUCAAGGACGGCACAGCCAAAAAUAAUCGGGCCCGACCUACCUCCCGAAAGUGGGGCAGCCCCGCCCAGACACCUGGUACGACGGAGGUAAUUAGUGCAUGUGGCAAAUGAGGGUAAUUAGGUCUGUGGGAACCAAACCACGGAUCCAGGUUUGGAGUUUGGAG
Molecule: long non-coding RNA, 264 nt
Organism: Cervus elaphus (red deer)
Lineage: Eukaryota; Metazoa; Chordata; Mammalia; Artiodactyla; Cervidae
Exons: 3
Source: RefSeq, a predicted model, not a curated record